UAGUCCACGCCGUAAACUAUGAUUACUCGUUUUCAGCGAUAUACUGUUGGAGACUAAGCGAAAGUGAUAAGUAACCCACCUGGGGAGUACGUUCGCAAGAAUGAAACUCAAAGGAAUUGACGGGGGCCCGCACAAGCGGUGGAGCAUGUGGUUUAAUUCGAUGAUACGCGAGGAACCUUACCAGGGCUUAAAUGCAGUUGGACAGGGGUGGAAACACCCCCUUCUUCGGACUGAUUGCAAGGUGCUGCAUGGUUGUCGUCAGCUCGUGCCGUGAGGUGUCAGGUUAAGUCCUAUAACGAGCGCAACCCCUGUGGUUAGUUGCCAGCGAGUAAUGUCGGGAACUCUAGCCAGACUGCCGGUGCAAACCGUGAGGAAGGUGGGGAUGACGUCAAAUCAUCACGGCCCUUACGUCCUGGGCUACACACGUGCUACAAUGGUAGGUACAGAGAGCAGCCACCCCGCGAGGGUGAGCCAAUCUCAGAAAGUGUAUCUCAGUUCGGA
Molecule: ribosomal RNA, 501 nt
Filed under: uncultured bacterium
Lineage: Bacteria
Description: bacterial SSU rRNA
Rfam family: Bacterial small subunit ribosomal RNA
Source: RNAcentral